RNAcentral lists this long non-coding RNA (425 nucleotides) under Hordeum vulgare. RNAcentral describes it as "long non-coding RNA (HVUL_LNC007047)". Lineage: Eukaryota; Viridiplantae; Streptophyta; Magnoliopsida; Poales; Poaceae. The record is from RNAcentral.
GUAGAUGAGUUCUCCGGCAGCGUGACGGCGCUCCGGAGGUUGGUGGUGAUCUAAUCUCGGCAGGGCUCCGCCCGAGCUCCGCAGAAACGCGAUCUAGAGGUAAAACCGUGGAGGUAUGUGGUCGGGCUGCCCUAGAAAAGUUGUCUCAAAUCAGCCCUAAUUGCUCCAUAUAUAUAGGAGGAGGGAGGGGAGGCUUGCCUUGAGGCUCAAGGAGCCCCAAGGGCUGCGCACCAAGGGGAGGAGUCCUCCUCCAAUCCUAGUCCAACUAGGAUUGGAAAGUGGAGUCCUUCUCUCCUUUCCCACCUCUUUUUUUUCUUUUCUCUUUGAUUUUCUAUCCUUGGUGCAUAGGGCCCUCUUGGGCUGUCCCACCAGCCCAUCAAGGGCUGGUGCACCACCCCCAAGGCCUAUGGGCUUCCCCGGGGUGG